Hippoglossus stenolepis (Pacific halibut) is the source of this 5499-nucleotide RNA transcript. RefSeq lists it as uncharacterized. NCBI's taxonomy places the organism in Eukaryota, Metazoa, Chordata, Actinopteri, Pleuronectiformes, Pleuronectidae. The record is from RefSeq and is a predicted model, not a curated record. The transcript is spliced from 10 exons.
UCUUGUUAUAGCACGACUUUAUGCUUGUAGCAGUUCAGCAUUAUUCUCGUAAUAGUACGACUUUAUAUCUGGAAAUAUAAGAACACUAGUGUUGAAAUCUAUUGUUGUCCUGAUAUUCUGUCAUGGAGGGAAAGAGACAGACAUUAUAAUUAACAUGACGCCACAACUUACUUCUCAUUAGAAGCUGAACACGGGCAGGUGGUUUCAACAUGGCGUCCAGUGGCUCCUCGUCCUCCACCGGCGGCUGAAGAAGGAGCAGGAAGCCGCUCACUGACGACAGAGGAAGAAACCAGAGGUCAAGACGACGAGGAGAACUUGUUCCUGCGCUGCGGUAACUCUUCACACGCAGAAACAUCGAACUGUGGCUUUGAAGUAGCAUAUUAGUUUGAUAGCGGGUUAGCUAGCUCACGUUAGCCGGCGGACCGCGCGCAGAGACCAUGACUCCUCCUCAGCAGCUGCAGCUCGAGCACCGUCAGCCUCACGCCUCCAUCAUCACUCAGAAAGUGCAGUUGAUGUACAAACUGUUUCUGCUGGAACACGCCAGGAGGACGCUGGAAGAAGAGCUGAGCAGCUUCACCAACAAGGCCUAUGAUGACGUUCAAGGUUUCUUGAAUCCAUCUUCUCCCACCAGUGUGUUCAGGGAUCUCGCUAACGCUUUGGAUUCAAAAUGUCGAGCUAUUGACAAGCUCUCAGCUUUAUUAAAGGAUCUCAUAGUUGAGCCAAGUGGUUGUGUUCAGCCGGCUGUCGGGUUUGGAGUGAGAACAAACCGGCUGCAGCCACUCGGAGACAAGAGGGUCCUGAUGACAGAUGUUCUCAAGUUUGGGCCCAUGUUACAGAACGUGCUCCUGGCGAGCUCCAUAGCGAAAGCUGUCCAGGUGGUUGGAGGCACACGGUCCCUUCAGCAGCUGAAACAUUUCCUCAUCUCCCAGCCUGCAGCGGCCCGGGAGGAUGACAUGAUUUACAGCAUCUCUAGUGGCUACAACAGCGCCGGUCAGACCACGCGCUCGUCCUGUAAUUUAAAGGGUGAAGAAAAAGAACAAGCUGUUACUUAUGAGGAGAAAAGCCAACCAGAUGAUGUGAUUCUGCCACCUGCCAUUAUUCAGAGCCCAGAGAUUCAUGCAGAGAGACCAUCACCACCGCUCCUACAUCCAAUACAAGCUGUACUUCCAGAAAUCAGCAAGCCAACGCCCAUGAAAAUGACACCGCUAAUUAAGUGGGGACGGGAGGACGAUGUCCAGGUGCAACACCAAAAACAAACAUCCUCUCAGCUGCAGCACUUCCUCAGGGCCAAAGCUAAAAACUCUGGUGCACUGGAGGUCACAGUCAUGAAGUGGAAUAAAAGUAUGUACGCCUCAGGUUCGCCACAGUCAACGUCGCCUACCAUCAAAACACAAAGUUACCAAUUCAGAAAUGUUGUGACAGACGAUCUUGUCAGAGCUCUAGCCCCGAAAACAUUGCGUGCAGACAUUGAAAAUCAAGCCCCUGUCUUCAGAGUAAAACGAAUGGAAUCGAGCGGCUCUCUGACCUACACUUGUGUGAUUGCAACAAGGACGGAAUUGUGGGAUAUUGGAGACAUCUUCACAGAGGUGCAACAAGCCCAUUCUGAUGGCAGCCCAGAGAAAAAAGAAGGCUGCCAAAAUAUAACUGCUCAAGUGGAGAACUCUAGUGUAAACAUCCAGUGGAAAACCCAAACUCUCCAGUGCACAGAACCUGAAAGAGAGAACAAUUCCGCUGGCGCAGAAACACCAGCGAUCAACAGUGUUACCAUUCCCGAGUUCCAGAUCAGGAAGUUUGAAGAGACUGAAGUUGUGGUGUCUCAUAUUAUCAGCCCAGGCAACUUCUACAUCCAGCACGCAGACUCCCUCUCGAAGCUGCAGGCCCUUGUUACAGACAGCUGGAAAGCCAGUAGUUCAUAUGCCGAGCAGAACUGCAUUCCAGACAUUGGAACCCAAGUAAUGGGUUGGUUCCCUAAGCGAGAACAAUGGUGCAGGGCUCAGGUGACAAAGAUAUGUGGAGUAAGUGGAGAUAAUAACUCCACUGACGGUGCUGGGUGUGAGACCUCCAUCAACGUGGAGGUGAAGAGGCUGGACCACGGUGACACUGCCUGCCUGUCAAUGUGGAACAUAAAGGAUCUGACCCCAGAAAUGUCCGUCCUUCCAUUUCAGGCUUUACACGUCUCACUUGCAAAUGUGAUGCCUGUGAAUGGGAGGGACUGGUCUGAAGAGGCAGUGGGCUGGUUCAAAGUGAUGGUGCACAACAGGACACUUUAUGCCCGACUCUACCCGCAGGGGCCCAAAGUUACAGUCGAGCUGUUUCUGGAAAAGGGCAAGCUCGGAGCAAUGAGGAGAAGUGCAUCAUUGUCCCUGAGACUGGCCCAAAAUGGACAUGCAAAACACAGCAAGCUGAAGAACGUGGGUCUCCUGAAAAGCACUGUUAAAGAAAAAAUUAGAAAACAGGAUUCUGACUGGGAGAAAUACCUCAUCUCCUGCUAUACUCAAACAGCAGCUCAUGUAUUUUCUGGAUGAAUCUGCAAACCUGUGAAUGACUCUGCUCUGUGACAGUGGCUCAGGUCAAAAGCUCCGUUCACUCCCCUGCUCUGCCAAGCACAAUAAAAAAUGUGGCAGGCUGAGGCCUUUUGUGUCCACACAGAUUCCUCCUUUUGCCCGGGACCUGGAGUCGAAAAUGAACUGGGGAACCUUUUAUGCCGUGAUCAGCGGCGUAAACAGGCACUCUACCGGCAUCGGACGCAUCUGGCUGUCGGUAAUCUUCAUCUUCCGUAUCCUGGUCCUGGUUGUCGCUGCGGAGAGUGUUUGGGGAGAUGAGAAGUCGGGCUUCACUUGCAACACCCAGCAGCCCGGCUGCAACAGCGUGUGUUACGACCAGUUCUUCCCCAUCUCGCACAUUCGCCUGUGGGCUCUCCAGCUCAUCCUGGUUUCCACCCCUGCGCUGCUAGUGGCCAUGCAUGUGGCCCACAUACGCCACAUCAACAAGAAGAUACUGAAGAAGGCGGGCCGCUGCAGCCCCAAGGAGCUGGAGCAUGUCAAAAACCAGAAGUUUGAAAUCACCGGAGCUCUGUGGUGGACGUACAUGAUCAGUAUUAUCUUCAGGAUCAUCUUCGAGGGGACUUUUCUCUACAUCUUCUACCUGAUCUACCCUGGCUUUAAGAUGGUGCGUUUAGUGAAGUGUGACUCGUACCCUUGCCCCAACACGGUGGACUGUUUUGUCUCCAGGCCGACAGAAAAGACGAUAUUCACCGUGUUCAUGCUGGCAGUGUCUGGGGUGUGCGUGCUGCUUAAUUUGGCCGAGGUGUUGUACCUCGUAGGCAAGGCCUGCAAACGGUGCUUUGGCAGCUCUGAGGAUGAGUCCAAAACAGCUUGGAUCAGUCCAAGGUUGUCGUCUUACAGGCAAAAUGAAAUCAAUCAGCUGAUUGCAGACCACUCUCUCAAGUCUAAGUUCACUGUGACCAAAAAGAGCCCAAGUGACAAGGGUGAGAGGUGCUCUGCCUUCUGAGACUCUGCCUUUCCGUCUCCCUUUAAACUAACCAACAGUAAUCACACAUGUCCAAUGGAGCAUGGUGCUCUGCAGUAAUGUCACACACACUGUAUAUUUGAUCAUCUGCAUUCACAUUUAUUUAUGUAUUGUAUCAUUCCGCGUUAGUUGCUGUUAGAACUUGUCUAAAAUACUUGAAGCCAGUAGUGGAGGUUAAAGGACAACACCAAUGUUUUUGCAUGUUCUAGCUGAUUUUCUACACAUCAAACAUAUUGACGUCAUAGUCGACCUUUUACCGAAGCUUACCUUGAUUUGUUAGGUUUUUGUCCGGCCUUCGCAGCAGCUUAAAUUCAUCUCAUUAAGAAAAGCUGCCAAGUUGCAAAGGUGGAGUGAUUGCUUGAGCUAAACAAACCAUGACCACGAGGAUCAUGCUUCCAUUUAUUUUUGUCAAAGUUGCAUUGUUGUUGCGUGACAGCUCACUUUAAUGUGCGGAUUUGACGGAAUCCCACAGGUGUGUCAUGUUUGUGUCCUGAUUAGACGCCAGACGUUGCUGCCAAAAUAGCUGCAUUUAUGAGCUAUGACAUGGGGAAAUCAAACCCAGAAGACUAACCACGGGCACGAAAUAGAUGUGAGAAGUUUAACAUGAAUAUUUACGUUUUUGCGUUCGAAAUGUUGCUGUUCGGAAACGGACUCCGGUUUAGGAUAUCGGUUUCUCAUCAGCACACAGACGCACCAUCCAACCGAUUUUUUCAAAUUCUUCCAUGCGAUUAAGCUGCUCAGACCGAAACAAUUAAGUUUUGACGGCGAAAAAAGACGAAUUAACUAAUUUAAGGAUGUUUCUUUAAGUUAUGUAUAGAGUUUAAAUGCAUACUGUAAAUUGAAAGGAAAUGAGUGGCUGCCUGGAGAUUACAAAAUAGAAACUUGCUUUUAUUUCCUCCGCAUACAUUUUUUUUUUGCCUGAUUUCUAGUUAUUUGGACAGAAGGUGCAAAAAAAAACAUUGGUUUUGUCUUGAAACAGAAGCAGGGCUGUCUGUUAACAUUACAAUGCUGGAUAGGAAAGUCAACUUUUUCAUUUAGAUAAAAAAAAUAUAUUAUGCUUUUAUGCCGCAUAUUUAUUUCAGUCAAAGGUCGUGUAAAAAGUAUUGAAGAGAACAGUAUUUAUGUGAAUGACUUGUUUGAACAGUAUCGUAACUUUAGCUCAGUGGUAGAAUGCUUUGAUUAAAGUGCUAAACUAACCUUUGCAAAAUGAUAAUAUAACUAAAAAAUAACAGUUGGUGCUAGAAAACCAAAGAUAUGAAUAUUGUCAGAUCAUGGAAAACUGCCAUUGGAUAUUAAAUCGUCAAUGUAAAAGGAGAGAAAAUUAUUUUAGAAAUUUCCCUCAAACAUUUUUACAUCAUGAUUUUGUAACACUGAUGGUUUGAGUACAUAAUUCAUUUUGGGUUAGUAAGACUUCAUCCUAUAUAUAAAGCAAGUACUGUUUAACAAUAUGUUAAAUUGAUGAAACGACCAAAUUAUAAUUAUUCAUUAUGCCGUUUCUGCUGGGUGAGUCGCUGUAGGAACACGGAAUAUCCCACUACUGUACAUGAUUUUUUUCUCUUUACAAUAGAUUCCGAUUUUGUAUGCAGUUGUACAUUCCCGCUCGCUUCAUCGCCGCUUCUAUUUUUAAGUUAUUUCUCCAGUUGGCUCUGAUAAAUGUUUGAGGUUGACCUACUUUUUAAAACAGAGACCAUCACUCUGACAGUUGGCAACUGCUUUCUUUAAUGUUACCCUGCAUUGUAUAUUAUCCAGCAUCGCUUUGGUCAUGAAAAUUUAAUAUCCCAUACGCUGGUAUGUUAACCUGUUUUUAUGUACUUUGUUAUGCAUCCAGAAAACCUUCAUGUUUAUUUGUAAAUGCACAUAUCAGUUUACAUCUGGGUCAACAAUCCAGAUAAAUUAUGCAAGGGGUUGGAACUAUAUACUGUGUGUACAUAAUGUAAUAUAAAGAAAUAAAUUGAUAAUUUGACAAAUGCA